RNAcentral lists this transfer RNA (73 nucleotides) under Patiria miniata (bat star). RNAcentral describes it as "tRNA-Ser". It matches the Rfam family "tRNA". Rfam says of the family: Transfer RNA (tRNA) molecules are approximately 80 nucleotides in length. Their secondary structure includes four short double-helical elements and three loops (D, anti-codon, and T loops). The record is from Rfam by way of RNAcentral. Lineage: Eukaryota; Metazoa; Echinodermata; Asteroidea; Valvatida; Asterinidae.
AGCUUGGUGGUCGAGUGGUAAGACAUCUAGACUAGAAAGCAGGAGGUCGUGGGUUCGAGUCCCACCUGAGUGA